RNAcentral lists this ribosomal RNA (842 nucleotides) under Acanthamoeba sp. MN-ISP125-T5. RNAcentral's name for it is "SSU rRNA". It matches the Rfam family "Eukaryotic small subunit ribosomal RNA", at positions 626 to 1234 of the family's 1831-position model. Lineage: Eukaryota; Discosea; Longamoebia; Acanthamoebidae. The record is from RNAcentral.
GCUCGUAGUUGGAUUUUGGGACGUGCAUUCACAUUCAUAAAGGUGUAAAAGCCUGUGGAAGCGUCUUACUGCUCUAUUGGCGCUAAGUCACCUUCACGGGUGGUUUGGUGUCAAGGUAGUUUGGCGUUGCGGGCUCGGUCCAUCAGUGUGCCUCGCAAGGGGCCUCCAUUGGUGUGUUAACCGGCCCGCCCGUCCCCUCCUUCUGGAUUCCCGUUCCUGCUAUUGAUUUAGUGGGAACGUCACAGGGGGUCAGUCGUGUAAAAAGCGGCUGGUCUCUGGGGCCCAGAUCGUUUACCGUGAAAAAAUUAGAGUGUUCAAAGCGGGCAGAUAUUUUUCCUGCCACCGAAUACAUUAGCAUGGGAUAAUGGAAUAGGACCCUGACCUCCUAUUUUCAGUUGGUUUUGUUUACAGCGAGGUUAUAUCAGGGUAAUGAUUAAUAGGGAUAGUUGGGGGCAUUAAUAUUUAAUUGUCAGAGGUGAAAUUCUUGGAUUUAUGAAAGAUUAACUUCUGCGAAAGCGUUUGCCAAGGAUGUUUUCAUUAAUCAAGAACGAAAGUUAGGGGAUCGAAGACGAUCAGAUACCGUCGUAGUCUUAACCAUAAACGAUGCCGACCAGCGAUUAGGAGACGUUGAAUACAAAACACCGCCGUUAAUCCUUUCGGGGGUUAAUGGUUGGUGAAUGACUCCCCUAGCAGCUUGUGAGAAAUCAUAAGUCUUUGGGUUCCGGGGGGAGUAUGGUCGCAAGGCUGAAACUUAAAGGAAUUGACGGAAGGGCACCACCAGGAGUGGAGCCUGCGGCUUAAUUUGACUCAACACGGGGAAACUUACCAGGUCCGGACAUAGU